Molecule: non-coding RNA, 89 nt
Filed under: Myotis brandtii (Brandt's bat)
Lineage: Eukaryota; Metazoa; Chordata; Mammalia; Chiroptera; Vespertilionidae
Description: Eukaryotic large subunit ribosomal RNA
Rfam family: Eukaryotic large subunit ribosomal RNA
Source: Rfam by way of RNAcentral
GGACCAGGGGAAUCCGACUGUUUAAUUCAAACAAAGCAUCCCGAAGUUCCGAGGAGGAUGUUGACGCCAUGUGAUUUCUGCCCAGUGCU